This 694-nucleotide ribosomal RNA is filed under the name Brevundimonas sp. RNAcentral describes it as "bacterial SSU rRNA". It matches the Rfam family "Bacterial small subunit ribosomal RNA", at positions 8 to 746 of the family's 1533-position model. The record is from RNAcentral. Lineage: Bacteria; Pseudomonadati; Pseudomonadota; Alphaproteobacteria; Caulobacterales; Caulobacteraceae.
AGAGUUUGAUCAUGGCUCAGAGCGAACGCUGGCGGCAGGCCUAACACAUGCAAGUCGAACGAACCUUUCGGGGUUAGUGGCGGACGGGUGAGUAACACGUGGGAACGUGCCUUUAGGUUCGGAAUAACUCAGGGAAACUUGUGCUAAUACCGAAUGUGCCCUUCGGGGGAAAGAUUUAUCGCCUUUAGAGCGGCCCGCGUCUGAUUAGCUAGUUGGUUGAGGUAAUGGCUCACCAAGGCGACGAUCAGUAGCUGGUCUGAGAGGAUGAUCAGCCACAUUGGGACUGAGACACGGCCCAAACUCCUACGGGAGGCAGCAGUGGGGAAUCUUGCGCAAUGGGCGAAAGCCUGACGCAGCCAUGCCGCGUGAAUGAUGAAGGUCUUAGGAUUGUAAAAUUCUUUCACCGGGGACGAUAAUGACGGUACCCGGAGAAGAAGCCCCGGCUAACUUCGUGCCAGCAGCCGCGGUAAUACGAAGGGGGCUAGCGUUGCUCGGAAUUACUGGGCGUAAAGGGAGCGUAGGCGGACAUUUAAGUCAGGGGUGAAAUCCCGGGGCUCAACCUCGGAAUUGCCUUUGAUACUGGGUGUCUUGAGUAUGAGAGAGGUGUGUGGAACUCCGAGUGUAGAGGUGAAAUUCGUAGAUAUUCGGAAGAACACCAGUGGCCGAAGGCGACACACUGGCUCAUUACUGACGC